RNAcentral lists this ribosomal RNA (427 nucleotides) under uncultured bacterium. RNAcentral's name for it is "bacterial SSU rRNA". It matches the Rfam family "Bacterial small subunit ribosomal RNA", at positions 355 to 774 of the family's 1533-position model. The record is from RNAcentral.
UGGGGAAUUCUGGACAAUGGGCGCAAGCCUGAUCCAGCCAUUCCGCGUGCAGGACGAAGGCCUUCGGGUUGUAAACUGCUUUUGUACGGAACGAAAAGCCCUUCUCUAAUACAGAGGGGUCAUGACGGUACCGUAAGAAUAAGCACCGGCUAACUACGUGCCAGCAGCCGCGGUAAUACGUAGGGUGCAAGCGUUAAUCGGAAUUACUGGGCGUAAAGCGUGCGCAGGCGGUUAUGUAAGACAGAUGUGAAAUCCCCGGGCUCAACCUGGGAACUGCAUUAGUGACUGCAUAGCUGGAGUACGGCAGAGGGGGAUGGAAUUCAGCGUGUAGCAGUGAAAUGCGUAGAUAUGCGGAGGAACACCGAUGGCGAAGGCAAUCCCCUGGGCCUGCACUGACGCUCAUGCACGAAAGAGUGGGGAGCAAACA